Molecule: transfer RNA, 65 nt
Filed under: Winkia neuii
Lineage: Bacteria; Bacillati; Actinomycetota; Actinomycetes; Actinomycetales; Actinomycetaceae
Also listed under: 1 other name
Rfam family: tRNA
About the family: Transfer RNA (tRNA) molecules are approximately 80 nucleotides in length. Their secondary structure includes four short double-helical elements and three loops (D, anti-codon, and T loops).
Source: RNAcentral
CGAUAGCUCAGUGGAUAGAGCGUCUGCCUCCGGAGCAGAAGGUCGCAGGUUCGAAUCCUGUUCGG